Gadus macrocephalus (Pacific cod) is the source of this 569-nucleotide long non-coding RNA. RefSeq lists it as uncharacterized. Lineage: Eukaryota; Metazoa; Chordata; Actinopteri; Gadiformes; Gadidae. The record is from RefSeq and is a predicted model, not a curated record. The transcript is spliced from 3 exons.
UAUGGGGAGCAUAUUUUGAUGCUUGUUUAUAACAUCUUCAUUGAAGAUUUCAGGGGUACAGUAUGUAGAUAGACCAAUACAUACAAUAAAAUGUGUGGAUAGUGUAUUGGUAAGAUAGCUCUUUAAUGAUGAAAGUUCUUUAAUGAAUGUUCACUGCAGAAGGAGAGCUCUACGUUGGGAGCAGAAGAGCCAUUAAAUCCAAAGAGGAGGCAAGACAACUCUUUAUAGAGUUGUCUUGGAGAGGAGUUCCACUCCUGUCCAAUGGGGGGACAUACGGGCAUCCUGAAAACCUGCACAGCAAUAUCCUCCAGAUUUGACUGGCUUGGCAUAUCAGUGGACAUUAACAACUGGGUCUUGGAAUGUGAUAAAUGCCAGAUGGUUGGAAAUCCAUUGACUGCUGUCCAGCCAUUACAGUGUAUACAGGUGUCUGCUGUCUGGGAGCUAAUUGGUAUUGACCUGACAGGACCUCUCCCAAAAACUGUGGAUGGCUUCCAGUACAUUUUAACAGCCACAGAUUAUUUCUCAAAAUGGGAUGAGGCUUUCCCAUUAAAGAAAAAAACUGCAGCUGA